UACGGAGGGUGCAAGCGUUAUCCGGAUUUACUGGGUUUAAAGGGUGUGUAGGCGGGCAGGUAAGUCAGUGGUGAAAUCUUCAAGCUUAACUUGGAAACUGCCAUUGAUACUAUUUGUCUUGAAUAUCCUGGAGGUAAGCGGAAUAUGUCAUGUAGCGGUGAAAUGCUUAGAUAUGACAUAGAACACCCAUUGCGAAGGCAGCUUGCUAAGGGAUUAUUGACGCUGAGGCACGAAAGCGUGGGGAUCAAACAGG
Molecule: ribosomal RNA, 253 nt
Filed under: uncultured bacterium
Lineage: Bacteria
Description: partial 16S ribosomal RNA
Rfam family: Bacterial small subunit ribosomal RNA
Source: RNAcentral